GAGAGGAAUAUAGAGAAAUACUUCACAUGUGCUUAGAUAAUACUCCUGAAGUAUCGUGUCGAUCUUUGUUUAUCAGAAAUAUUUAUGUUGUAAUAAAUUGCAAAAUCAUAUUACGACUAUUUACUAACGUGAUCAAUGAAUAUACACUAUGCACUAGAAGGACAUUAAUAUGAUUGACAGCUGCAUUCAGAAUAAUUGACUAACAUUUGAUUUGCCUUAUCUCAAUGAAUAAUGUAAUAACCUGAUUAUUCUUUAAGAAAAACGCUAUUGUAAAAAUAUAAUACAAAUGCAAAACUUAGAACAAAUUAUGAUAAAAAAAAUCGGCAUUAGAUACCUAAUUAAGAGGUCUAUGAAAAGAGAGGUCCAGACUCGCAAAGCGUCUCCAAACGAAAAAAGCUAAACCGAUUCAACUCAAAAACCAAGAUACACCGUCUCAAGCAGCGAAACCAAAAAAGCCCCUCGUUCUAGACCUAGCUCCUCAUUCGAAACAAUAUCAUUUCAAACAGAACAGCUCUGGUAAUGGAGUUAUCCACCAACUAUUAACAUCACCCAAGAACAAUAAUCAGAACGGGUCUAUAAAAUCUAAAACCAAGAAAUUGGAUAAGCCGAUUUCUUUGGAGAAGGUCUUCCCUGAUACUUAUGUAAAUUUAGAUGAGUUUUAGAAUAGGCGUAGUGACGGGCAGGGAUCUUCAGAUUUGAGUUGGUAUACCUGUUCAGUGGAGGAAAUCAAAGAAGUAGUCAAAGAAGAACAGGCAGAAGAAGAAGAUUGCGAAGAAGAAGAAGAAGAAGAAAAGUAAACAGCAUUCCAAACAGCUAAUUGCCAUUUUAUUAAAUUGUUUUAUUUUGUGUAGCUAAUAAUUUCGUUGUUUUUUUAUUUAUUAAAAGUGUAAGAAUAAAUGUGAAUACGUAUUGUGUUAACAAAUUAUAUUUAUAUACCUAUUUGUCCCUCUA
Long non-coding RNA from Bombyx mori (domestic silkworm), 951 nucleotides. RefSeq lists it as uncharacterized. The record is from RefSeq and is a predicted model, not a curated record. The transcript is spliced from 3 exons. Lineage: Eukaryota; Metazoa; Arthropoda; Insecta; Lepidoptera; Bombycidae.